Danio rerio (zebrafish) is the source of this 1632-nucleotide non-coding RNA. The record is from RefSeq and is a predicted model, not a curated record. NCBI's taxonomy places the organism in Eukaryota, Metazoa, Chordata, Actinopteri, Cypriniformes, Danionidae.
CUCCUGAAGGAAACCAACGCCAACACGGGGUCCUCAGUGUUCAACGGAUUAAGGAAAAAAGUUUAUAUAACGACUUGUUUGUAAGUACAUUUACAUUUUGGAGUAAACUAUCCCAAUAAAACUAUCAAAUAAGUCAGCUAAGUUAGUUUAGCUACAACCAAAACCAUCAACAAACCAUCGUAAACUAUUUUUGUACGGCAAUGUUAUUGAGAUAAUAAACAUGUGUUCCCUCAGUCAGAGAAACGCCGUUGUUACACGACUUGUAGACGGUAAACUGACCUACUUUAAACGUGACUAAUAGGAAAUUUGUCCUAAAUAGCAACCAUAAGCUGUUUUUUAAACGAGGACACCAUAUUUCACCAGUGUGACAGGCGAUAAAACACAGUCAGUAUGCUGUUAAACGGCUUCACACUGAACUAUGACUCAGUAUAAGCGGUUUUAUGCAGAGAUUCGUUCCUACAGCCUCCACGCCCACUAACAAACCAAAGAAACUGGCGACACUUGUAUUGGUCCUCAAAGAAGUUAAAAAGGAAAUAAAAUGCGUGAAAACAUCAGCUCGCGGUUUGUUUUGGACGUUAUGAAGCUGGAGUCGUUCGUGAACCGUCCUCCAUCCGGAUUUAUCGUGGAGCGGCGCCCGGGCUGCAGACUCCUGAAGUGGGAUCCGGAGAAAAGCUGCGUCUUCAUCGAUGACAUCCAUUCUAGAGAGGGAAAAGUGAUUUUCUACAAUUCCCCAGGAAGGAAAAUCACAGUACGUACUUUGGGUACACGGAUUUAAGACGACAACUGACCUUAAAGACGAUUUACAUACUAGUGUCUGCUUAUGACAACACUAAAGGCCAAGAGAAGAGCAAUGGGGAUGUUCUAGCUGCUGAAUAUUACGUGUUGGCGAUAAACAGCAGUCAUCCAAUGAUCAGAUGGGAGAUGGAGAGAGGCUUGGACAAGACCAUUUCAUCCGUCGCUGGAGAGAGCUAUACAGUUGACGUUGAUGUUAGUGCAGCGCUGCAGGGAUGGAUGAGGGAGAACUCUCAAGCUCUUGCUGAUCUGAAAAAGGUGGAACGAACCUGGAAAGACACACACUUCACCAUCAAGUACCGCUCUGAUGCCCUUUUUGACUUUCCCUACUGGUUUGGCUUCAGCAAACGACAGUUCAAGGUCUCCUACCAUGGAAGGUGAUAUCAACACAAUUUAAGACAGAAAAUGUUGACUUAAAGGAUUAGUUCACCCCAAAAUUUACUCACCCUUAAGCCAUUCUCUGGGUAUAUGACUUUCUUCUUUCAGACAAACACAGUUGGAGAAGUUUUACAUUUUAUUCAUUUUUUUUUCCAUGCUGUAUAAUGAUGUUGGCUGGUGGCUCUUUUUAAAGCCUUUUAAAAGCAUACAAAAGCAUUACUUCACAUUACAAUUAUACAAAGACAUGUGUGCCAAGCCCCCGAUGGCACAUUCACUGCUUACUAAUAAAGUAACAGUGCCAAAAACUGGCCUGGCAAGCAUAAUACAAGGAAAUCGUUUUGAAAACACUGUCAAGUAGAUGGCGUAUGGGUUAGUUUUACGAUGCAUUUAUUCGGCUGGAGGAGUGCACAAUUUUUUUUGAGACUCGAGCGAACAGUGCAUGCGGCGCCGCAUUUGAUUUGA